AGAAAAAUAAAACAUCGGCAAUAAUCGGCGUGACGAUAGCCUGCACGCUAACAUAAAAGUACCCAUUAAAUGGGUUUCUAGUACCCAUUUUUAUGGUCAGUAUGGAGUUGUCAGAAAAAGAGUACUUUUCAGUGACAUAAAAAAGGGUACUUUAACCUCAUUAUGAAGUAUUCUUCCAGCUAAUAUAAAUGGGUACAUAGUACACAUGAUGUAGUUUGCAAGGCAAUAGCGCCAUUUUCAAUUUCAGUUGUUUUUCAGCUCGGUGUUAAUGAAAAAAAGUCAGGGUUUAUUUCAUUGUUCGACAAAUAAAUAAUUAUGGAGGAGCAGAUUGCACACACUCUUUGCGACACAUUUUUGGAUGACUGCAGCUGAGUUCAAUGCCAACUGCAGCGAUUUCCGUAGUACCUGGGUCGUCUACUAAAUGAUCAUAUACAUGUUGAAUUAUUGUUUUCUUAAAUUAUGAAAUAAAUGUACGAUGUAUUUUAUUAAUUCCGUUA
Molecule: long non-coding RNA, 497 nt
Filed under: Aedes aegypti (yellow fever mosquito)
Lineage: Eukaryota; Metazoa; Arthropoda; Insecta; Diptera; Culicidae
Description: lncRNA AAEL024907
Source: RNAcentral